RNAcentral lists this ribosomal RNA (408 nucleotides) under uncultured Methylomirabilota bacterium. Its description in RNAcentral is "bacterial SSU rRNA". It matches the Rfam family "Bacterial small subunit ribosomal RNA", at positions 1027 to 1434 of the family's 1533-position model. Lineage: Bacteria; Methylomirabilota (SeqCode). The record is from RNAcentral.
CGUGGAGACAGGUGGUGCAUGGCUGUCGUCAGCUCGUGUCGUGAGAUGUUGGGUUAAGUCCCGCAACGAGCGCAACCCUCACCCCUUGUUGCCAUCAGGUCACGCUGGGCACUCUAGGGGAACUGCCCCGGUCAACGGGGAGGAAGGUGGGGACGACGUCAAGUCAUCAUGCCCCUUACGUCCUGGGCUACACACGUGCUACAAUGGCCGGUACAAAGGGAUGCAAGACCGUGAGGUGGAGCUAAACCCAAAAAGCCGGUCUAAGUUCAGAUUGGAGUCUGCAGCUCGACUCCAUGAAGGAGGAAUCGCUAGUAAUCGCGCAUCAGCACGGCGCGGUGAAUACGUUCCUGGGCCUUGUACACACCGCCCGUCACACCACGAAAGCCAGCUGUACUCGAAGUCGCUGAG